RNA transcript from Zea mays, 1646 nucleotides. RefSeq lists it as uncharacterized. The record is from RefSeq and is a predicted model, not a curated record. NCBI's taxonomy places the organism in Eukaryota, Viridiplantae, Streptophyta, Magnoliopsida, Poales, Poaceae. The transcript has 5 exons.
UCAUUUUGAGAUAUUUAUGAUCCCCUUAUUAAUGGGUGACCGUGAUGCUCUGGUGUGUGAUGCGGCAAUGGGGGAGGUGUGAGAUAUUUAUGAUCCCCAUGGCGGAGACGCUCUGGUGUGCCGACAAUAUCACUAUUGACCUUGAGGAGCAAGAAUGACCGCCAUCAACAUUCAGAACCCACGUCUUCUCAUCAAGGAGAUGGAGGUGGGAGGAGAGGUCCUGGAUACGCCAAGGGGAGCCUACGGGACGUCCCCAUGGCCGAUAUGCUGCGAUAGGAUGAAGGAUGGUGGGGUUCUUGUAGGUGGACUGAAGGAAUAUCUCAAAACAAUUAGGCGCUGCAGAAAAGGGUGGGUUUUAUUUUAUUGGUUGUGGAACAAGUUACAAUGCUGCCUUAGCUGCAAGACCCUUUUUGUGGAAGAACUGACUGGUAUUCCUGUGACUAUGGAGGUUGCAAGCGACUUGCUGGACAGACAAGGUCCCAUCUACAGAGAAGACGCCGCAGUUUUUGUUAGUCAGUCUGGAGAGACAGCAGAUACCCUCCUUGCAUUGCUCUUGAUUAUGCUCUAGAAAAUGGACCUCUCCGUGUUGGCAUCACGAAAUACUGUUGGAAUCACACUGUCUAGAAGAACGCACUGCGGAGUCCAUAUCAAUGCUGAUUGCCGGUACAAAGGCAUAUACAAGUCAAAUAGUAGCAAUGGUGAUGAUGGCGUUGGCUAUCGGAUCCGACCAAUAAUAUAUCUACUCGAGCUAGAAGGAAAAUUAUCAUCAGUGGACUUAACAACCUUUCAAGUACGUCGAACUUACUAGAUCCUUGUGCUAUGGCUGCAGUCAAGCAAAAAGGCUGUUUCUGACGCAUGCUUCAGCAAGCAGCAGUCGGUGAUCCAGCAGCUCCUCUCGCGCAAGGGGACGCCGCCGAUAGUGAUGUGCUCGAGGGGGGACGCCACCGCGCUGCUGUAUGCCCCAGUGGAUCCUGCAGAGUCAUUGAAGUUCCGGAGGUUGCAUGUUGUCUCCAGCCAGUGAUUAACAUAAUCCCAUUACAGUUGCUCGCGUACAAUCUGACUGUUCUCCAGGGAUUCGAUGUGGACCAACCACGGAAUCUGGAGAAGAGCGUGACCACGCAGUAGGUAGAGAGGUGGAAGUGGAUGAUGAGAUGCGCGAACGAUUUGUACCCCUAUGUCGUGUUGUGUAGGGUUCUAGGAGAGAGCAAGCCGGCUAUAGCUGUUGGUUAGUCAUUUUCUUUUGUGUAAUGUAAUUAUUACUGUUCUUGAGGUAGCUAGUACUAUCAUUACUCUACGUUAAACAAGUCGUUGUGAAAUGCAUGGUACAAAAGGUAUCAUUUGAGAAACAAGUGUGUUUUUCAUACCGAUUGGGCGAUAUAAAUCUCGUAAACUUGUAAUUCUGAUCUCUCAAAUUUGAGGCGUCUGGCAAAGGUACAAAAUCAAAACCCUCAAAAAUCUGACGGCAGAAAUUUUCCGACGAACAUUGUAUCAGAGUUUUCUCUCCUUAUUUCCUGUAAGAACAUGACGGUCAUUUCUUUUUACAGGGCAUUGAGCCCCCUGAUAUUCCAGUACAACAGUCUAAUACUCCAAAUUCUAAAACAGGAGCUGAGAUAUUCAUGUAUGACAUCUCGUCGGCGUCUUCUUCU